GCCCCGGUGGUGUAGCCCGGACAAUCAUCCAGCCCUUUCGAGGCUGGGACGCGGGUUCAAAUCCCGCCCGGGGCA
This 75-nucleotide transfer RNA is filed under the name Candidatus Woesearchaeota archaeon. Its description in RNAcentral is "tRNA-Glu". It matches the Rfam family "tRNA". From Rfam's summary of the family: Transfer RNA (tRNA) molecules are approximately 80 nucleotides in length. RNAcentral also lists the same sequence under 1 other name. Lineage: Archaea; Nanobdellati; Candidatus Woesearchaeota. The record is from RNAcentral.